Cinara cedri is the source of this 454-nucleotide non-coding RNA. The record is from the annotation of a GenBank genome assembly. Lineage: Eukaryota; Metazoa; Arthropoda; Insecta; Hemiptera; Aphididae.
GUGCAUAUUAAAUAUGAAAAAACAAGGGAUUUUUCAACACAACUUCUUUGGAAAAGUGUAUCGAGAGCGAAAACAAUCACGGAGAAUUUUCAUCUAUAUAAUUUAAAACGUUAUUUUCAUGCGACUCGUGAAAAAAAACAACAAACACUCGUGGAAAAUGCAAAUAUGAAAUUAUCAGUUACAAAUCAGUAAGUCCAAUGUAGAAAGUUCACAAUGAUUUAGACAAAACACUUACAGCCAAUGUUCAAAACCUAUCGAUUUUUUACGGUUUCAAUUUGCAAAGCGGUUUUUGAAUUUGUUUGGUUUGGAGUUUUAGUUUCGAGAACGGUUUUUAAAAUUAUUUUUAACUAUAACACAUGAGUGACGACCUUUAAAGUCUAUAGUUUAUACCCGCUGAAUAAUACGCUUCUGAAGUUCCACCAUCACUUUAUCCGAUCAACUUUGGAUCUAUAGA